Molecule: ribosomal RNA, 497 nt
Filed under: uncultured bacterium
Lineage: Bacteria
Description: partial 16S ribosomal RNA
Rfam family: Bacterial small subunit ribosomal RNA
Source: RNAcentral
GAUGAACGCUGGCGGCGUGCCUAAUACAUGCAAGUCGAGCGAACGGACGAGGAGCUUGCUUCUCUGUCGUUAGCGGCGGACGGGUGAGUAACGCGUGGAUCCCCUCCCUAUAAGACUGGGAUAACUUCGGGAAACCGGAGCUAAUCCCGGAUAAUCUCUUGCACCGCAUGGUUCAAAGGUGAGAGUCGGUCUUGCUGUCACUUCUAGAUGGAUCCGCGCUGCAUUAGCGAGUUGGUAAGGUAACGGCCUACCAAGGCAACGAUGCAUAGCCGACCUGAGAGGGGGGUCGGCCACACUGGAACGGAGACACGGUCCAGACGCCUACGGGAGGCAGCAGUAGGGAAUCUGACGCAAUGGGCGAAAGCCUGACGGAGCGACGCCGCGUGAGUUAUGAAGGUCUUCGGAUCGGAAAACUCUGUUAUUAGGGAAGAACAUAUGUGGAAGGAACUGUGCACAUCGUGACGGUACCGAGUCAGAAAGCCACGGCUAACUACGUG